RNAcentral lists this ribosomal RNA (253 nucleotides) under uncultured bacterium. Its description in RNAcentral is "partial 16S ribosomal RNA". It matches the Rfam family "Bacterial small subunit ribosomal RNA", at positions 524 to 776 of the family's 1533-position model. The record is from RNAcentral.
GACGAACCGUGCGAACGUUGUUCGGAUUCACUGGGCUUAAAGGGCGCGUAGGCGGGCGGUCAAGUCGGGGGUGAAAUCUUUCCGCUUAACGGGAAGCGUGCCUCCGAUACUGAUCGCCUCGAGGGAGGUAGGGGUCGCGGGAACUUCCGGUGGAGCGGUGAAAUGCAUUGAGAUCGGAAAGAACACCAACGGCGAAAGCGAGCGCCUGGACCCUUUCUGACGCUGAGACGCGAAAGCCAGGGGAGCGAACGGG